UUGGUGGAAAGUUUUUCGGCUUGGGAUGGGCUCGCGGCCUAUCAGCUUGUUGGUGGGGUGAUGGCCUACCAAGGCGACGACGGGUAGCCGGCCUGAGAGGGCGACCGGCCACACUGGGACUGAGACACGGCCCAGACUCCUACGGGAGGCAGCAGUGGGGAAUAUUGCACAAUGGGCGGAAGCCUGAUGCAGCGACGCCGCGUGAGGGAUGACGGCCUUCGGGUUGUAAACCUCUAACAACAGGGACGAAGCGUAAGUGACGGUACCUGCAGAAGAAGCGCCGGCCAACUACGUGCCAGCAGCCGCGGUAGGACGUAGGGCGCGAGCGUUGUCCGGAUUUAUUGGGCGUAAAGAGCUCGUAGGCGGCUUGUCGCGUCGACCGUGAAAACCUGGGGCUCAACCCCAGGCCUGCGGUCGAUACGGGCAGGCUAGAGUUCGGUAGGGGAGACUGGAAUUCCUGGUGUAGCGGUGAAAUGCGCAGAUAUCAGGAGGAACACCGGUGGCGAAGGCGGGUCUCUGGGCCGAUACUGACGCUGAGGAGCUAAAGGGGGGGGAGCGAACAGGAUUAGAUACCCUGGUAGA
This 582-nucleotide ribosomal RNA is filed under the name uncultured Micromonospora sp. Its description in RNAcentral is "bacterial SSU rRNA". It matches the Rfam family "Bacterial small subunit ribosomal RNA", at positions 200 to 794 of the family's 1533-position model. The record is from RNAcentral. Lineage: Bacteria; Bacillati; Actinomycetota; Actinomycetes; Micromonosporales; Micromonosporaceae.